RNAcentral lists this ribosomal RNA (1311 nucleotides) under Triticum aestivum (bread wheat). RNAcentral describes it as "partial small subunit ribosomal RNA". The record is from RNAcentral. Lineage: Eukaryota; Viridiplantae; Streptophyta; Magnoliopsida; Poales; Poaceae.
GAUCUAGUCAACUUCCAGCAUAAUUCAUCGGGUUGGUGAGAAAGUUGAACCUCCAUCAGUCUUCUAACUAGAUGGAGCCAUUCUUCCCAACGAUUGCCCGCUAGCAUCCGUCUAAACUGAAUAUUAAGGUGGGUAGAGUGAAAUACUGUUGCCACGAACACCUCACGACGUUGAGCAAUCCGAUAUAAAGACGGAUAUACAUUGUAUAGUAACAUGCACGAGCAUGUAAGGGAUCUUCAAUGCGGGACCGUAUUGACACCACUUUUUGGCAUGUAUGAUCAAGUCCUCAAAACUAUCUCAAAUGGAGAAGUGUUUAACAUGGAAAUUCCUCCCCUCGUCGCAGCGAACUAUUUUGCCUUUUGAAUCAUCUCAAUCCGAGGCCGUUUGCAGAAUUUAAAUAUCAUACAGUCUAGUGUGUAUUGCUUGCUAAAAAGAAAGAGGGGAUAGACAGCAGCCGACAUGAACGUGAGGUGGCAGCAUCCGCCCGUCCUGUGGUCGGAAGGCGGAUGAUUUUCAGGCCCCGAGCGGAGUCGACCUGACGCCUGAAACUGACCUAAAGCUACAACCAAGUAUACAAGAGUUCAGAAAACAUAGCAGAAGCAGAGGAAGCUACAUGCAAGUAUUUAGAGUUCAGAAAACAGAGCAUAGCAGAUGAAAGCUAGCUACAGGCAAUAACGAUGACAGGCAAACAGAGCAAAGCAGAUGCUUGAUUUCCUAUCCUUGUCCACUGCCUUGUGCCUUCACUUCUCGCUGGUGGCCAGAGUCGAGUCAAGGUCCACAAAGGUGAAGUCGCUGGAGUAUUGAGUUUGCAAUCCAGGCCCUGGUCUCAAAAGACAGAUAUCAUCAUCAUCAUCAAUGGACCUCCAAUAUUGAACUGCCUAUGAAUAUGCUAGAAUAUUGUGAACUGGAAACUAUCAGUAUUCAAAGAUAUGAUUUGUAGACAGAUUGCAAAGCUAGAGUUUCUCAUCAAGAUGGCCAAGUGAUGAGCUGGAUCUUUCUUCAGGAGCCAAGGUGUCUACCUAGUAGAAAUCACUGCUGAUGUUCCCUUUCCAUUUUCUUACCCACUGGAUUUCUUCAUAAAAUUGUUCUGUUUUGUGUGCAGUGUCUGCAUUUGAAAUAGUAACUGAACCUUCUGUCCUUUCAAUUUUGGAGGAAGCAAUUGUGGAACUCUGGAAACAGGGUGAACAGCCUAUGAUAGAUCAUUGUCUAGUUGCAUUCCUACACACAGACACACGCACACAAAACAUAAUCCGUAUCCAGUGUCUGAAGUGAGAUGACACUAAAUCUAUUCAAUGUUCCAGAAUAUUGAUG